This 339-nucleotide long non-coding RNA is filed under the name Pan troglodytes (chimpanzee). RNAcentral's name for it is "long non-coding RNA NONPTRT012881". The record is from RNAcentral. Lineage: Eukaryota; Metazoa; Chordata; Mammalia; Primates; Hominidae.
AUCAAAACCCACUGAAACAUAAUAGGCCCUUGCAGAACCCCCGCCCAACAGCAAAACCCACUGAAACCUAAUAGACACAUCCAGAAUCCCCAACCAACAGCAAAACCCACUGAAACCUAAUAGACACAUGCAGAACCCCCGCCCAACAUCAAAACCCACUGAAACCUAAUAGACACAUGCAGAACCCCCGCCCAACAGAAAAACCCACUGAAACCUAAUAGAUACAUCCAGAAUCCCCACCCAACAGCAAAACCCACUGAAAUCUAAUAGACACAUCCAGAACCCCCACCCAACAGCAAAACCCAAUGAAACCUAAUAGACACAUCCAGAACCCCCACC